UGAAAUUUUGAGACGUUGAGCCGAGGUGCCGAGUAGCUCUCUAGCAAAACCCAUGACGACAAUGGGUGGCGGCUCCUCUUGGGGCCGUCUUUGGCCUCAAAUGGCAGUGGCUUUAGCAGCUAUACUAGUUGUGGUUUCAAGCAAUGUGGGUUCAGUUGAAGCAAAUGCUUAUCCCUACUCUUCACCCCCACCACCACCUUAUGUUUAUAGCUCACCACCACCUCCUGUUCACUCUCCACCACCGCCAUAUGUCUACAUGUCUCCACCACCUCCGUCACCGUCACCACCGCCGCCUUAUGUGUACAAGUCACCACCACCACCAUCACCAUCCCCACCACCGACUUAUGAGUACAAGUCUCCCCCACCGCCUUCUCCUUCACCACCACCACCUUAUGUGUACAAGUCUCCACCUCCUCCACCAAAAGAACUACCUCCGUACCACUACAAGUCUCCACCACCACCUUCUCCUUCACCGCCGCCACCUUACCACUAUACAUCUCCUC
This 503-nucleotide long non-coding RNA is filed under the name Prunus persica (peach). RNAcentral's name for it is "long non-coding RNA (PPER_LNC000625)". The record is from RNAcentral. Lineage: Eukaryota; Viridiplantae; Streptophyta; Magnoliopsida; Rosales; Rosaceae.